UACAUGGGGUGCAAACGUUGCUCGGAAUUAUUGGGCGUAAAGCGCACGUAGGUGGUCUGUUAUGUCAGAUGUGAAAGCCCUCGGCUUAACUGAGGAAGUGCACCUGAAACUGGCAGGCUUGAGUACGAAAGAGGGUCGCGGAAUUCCCGGUGUAGAGGUGAAAUUCGUAGAUAUUCGGAAGAACACCAGUGGCGAAGGCGGCUCACUGGACCGGUAUUGACGCUGAGGUGCGAAAGCGUGGGGAGCAAACAGG
This 253-nucleotide ribosomal RNA is filed under the name uncultured bacterium. Its description in RNAcentral is "partial 16S ribosomal RNA". It matches the Rfam family "Bacterial small subunit ribosomal RNA", at positions 524 to 776 of the family's 1533-position model. The record is from RNAcentral.